ACAGCAGUCGCCGCGGUAAUACGAAGGGUGCAAGCGUUAAUCGGAAUUACUGGGCGUAAAGCGUGCGUAGGCGGUGAGUUAAGUCUGCUGUGAAAUCCCCGGGCUCAACCUGGGAAUGGCAGUGGAUACUGGCUCGCUAGAGUGAGUCAGAGGAUGGUGGAAUUCCCGGUGUAGCGGUGAAAUGCGUAGGGAUCGGGAGGAACAUCAGUGGCGAAGGCGGCCAUCUGGGACAAUACUGACGCUGAGGCACGAAAGCGUGGGGAGCAAACAGGAUUAGAUACCCGCGUAGUCCCUGUCUCUUAUAC
RNAcentral lists this ribosomal RNA (305 nucleotides) under uncultured bacterium. RNAcentral's name for it is "partial 16S ribosomal RNA". It matches the Rfam family "Bacterial small subunit ribosomal RNA", at positions 508 to 807 of the family's 1533-position model. The record is from RNAcentral.